CCCUAGUUAGCUCAGUUGGUAGACUGCUCCACUGGAAAUGGAGAGGUUCCGGGUUCAAUACCCGGACCAGGCG
Molecule: non-coding RNA, 73 nt
Organism: Ixodes scapularis (black-legged tick)
Lineage: Eukaryota; Metazoa; Arthropoda; Arachnida; Ixodida; Ixodidae
Source: Rfam